RNAcentral lists this long non-coding RNA (1006 nucleotides) under Chloebia gouldiae (Gouldian finch). RNAcentral's name for it is "Erythrura gouldiae (Gouldian finch) lncRNA (ENSEGOG00005006294.1)". The record is from RNAcentral. Lineage: Eukaryota; Metazoa; Chordata; Aves; Passeriformes; Passeridae.
CUUUGCUGAAUGGGUGUGGGCAGCAAACCCAUGCAGAGGCUGUUAGUAAUCCUCACAGGCUCUGAUGUGGUCACACUGAACCGGAGACUUUGUGUUAUAUGUGAAUGCAUUGGCUUUACUUUCUAAUAUUUGGCUGGCUUUGUAAACCAUCUUCCUUUCUCCCCGCUCUUGUUUUCUCUCAUGAAGGCACCAUUUCUUGUUGGUUUUGGACUGUUUUUGUGACUAGAGAAGAAUGUAGGCUUCUCAGAAGCACAUGAGCUGUUUUGCUCUUCAGUAGUGUCCCUGCUCUGCUCAUAGACAGAGGAGAGCUGGGUGGACAGGAUCAGUCAGGAGGCUAAGGACAGGCAUGAAAGAAAGCCUCUGAAGCAGGAUGGAGUGGCAGAAAGGCUGCUUUUUCUCAAGGGAUCUGUGAAAUGAGGCAAUCCUGCUGUCAUUUCUGCAGCAGGGACUUGCUAGGGAAUAGGAAGUAAAUGGAGUGUCUUGUGGAGAUGCCUUGUAGGGAGAGCUGACUGCCAGCCAAAAACCCAUCCAGCUACAAAAGCAGCUGUUUCAGCCCAAAGAAUGUUUUGGUUGCAGUUAGCUGUGCUGUGCCCUGCAUCAGCCUCCAGAGAGCCUGUGUCACAGGACAGGAGACCUUUCAGCUGGAGAAGUCAGCCACUGUUCAAGCUUGACCCAGAUUCUGAGCAGGAAGAGCCCCUGCGUGCAGCAGAGAACAAAGCCCGAGGAUUCCCGAGGUCUCCAUUGAUGCAGAAGGACCGAGCGGAACGUGAAAGAGAUAAGAGAGACGCAGCAAGAUCCUCCCCCACCGCUGCCCCUCCCUCGCCCUCCGAUUCAAGGAGCAGGGGCUGGUUUGUGAAUGAGGAGCCGGAGCUCGUUCAGACGGAACAAAUACCAAUAAAGGAGCACAAUAGCAGCUGCUCCCGAGCCGGAGCCCGCUAGGAAAAGGUAGCAGCUCUCAAGAGGGGGCUGAUUUCCCCAGGAGUCAUUGGUGCGUGACAGAUGGAAG